RNAcentral lists this ribosomal RNA (229 nucleotides) under uncultured bacterium. RNAcentral's name for it is "partial 16S ribosomal RNA". It matches the Rfam family "Bacterial small subunit ribosomal RNA", at positions 524 to 752 of the family's 1533-position model. The record is from RNAcentral.
UACGGAGGGUGCAAGCGUUGUCCGGAAUCACUGGGCGUAAAGGGCGCGUAGGCGGCUCAUGAAGGCUGUGGUGAAAGUCCGGGGCUCAACCUCGGAUCGGCCGUGGCGACUCGUGGGCUGGAGCACUGUAGAGGCGGGUGGAAUUCCGGGUGUAGCGGUGGAAUGCGUAGAGAUCCGGAAGAACACCAGUGGCGAAGGCGCCCGCUGGGCAGUGGCUGAACGCUGAGGC